AUUGAACGCUAGCGGGAUGCUUUACACAUGCAAGUCGAACGCGAGUCGGACGGGUGAGUAAUGUAUGGGGACUGCCCGCUAGAGGGGGAUAACUACUGGACAAGGUAGCUAAUACCACAGAUUACCGGAUAACCCAUAUGGGAUUAGCUAGUAGGUGAGGGAAUGUCUCACCUAGGCGACGCGCCCUAGCUGGUCUGAGAGGAGGGUCAGCUACACUGGGACUGAGACACGGCCCAGACCCGUACGGAGGGAGCAGUGGGGAAUAUUGCACAAUGGGCGCAAGCCUGAUGCAACCAUGCCGCGUGUAUGAAGAAGGCCCGAGGGUUGUAAAGUACUUUCAGUCGGGAGGCGUUACCGACAGAAGAAGCACCGGCUAACUCCGUGCCAGCAGCCGCGGUAAUUC
This 403-nucleotide ribosomal RNA is filed under the name uncultured bacterium. Its description in RNAcentral is "partial 16S ribosomal RNA". It matches the Rfam family "Bacterial small subunit ribosomal RNA", at positions 30 to 526 of the family's 1533-position model. The record is from RNAcentral.